RNAcentral lists this non-coding RNA (80 nucleotides) under Vannielia litorea. Lineage: Bacteria; Pseudomonadati; Pseudomonadota; Alphaproteobacteria; Rhodobacterales; Paracoccaceae. The record is from RNAcentral.
AGCGGCACAAGUGGCGAUUUGUUCACCGGAUUGCGGGCCACUCUAAACACUUCCGCUAAAGAGGUCAGGCAGAGGGAGCC